CUUGAUCGACCCCAGCCACAGGGGCCGCCCCUCGGGCCGGUCCUGGCCGUAGGCGGCCAGCAGCGCCUGGGCCUC
This 75-nucleotide antisense RNA is filed under the name Streptomyces bingchenggensis BCW-1. RNAcentral describes it as "ASpks TB sRNA". It matches the Rfam family "ASpks TB sRNA". The record is from Rfam by way of RNAcentral. Lineage: Bacteria; Bacillati; Actinomycetota; Actinomycetes; Kitasatosporales; Streptomycetaceae.